Molecule: ribosomal RNA, 417 nt
Filed under: Triticum aestivum (bread wheat)
Lineage: Eukaryota; Viridiplantae; Streptophyta; Magnoliopsida; Poales; Poaceae
Description: partial small subunit ribosomal RNA
Source: RNAcentral
UUUGGCAAGGCCUUGGGUGUGCGCAACCAGAAGCUUUCGGCUUACGAGAAGGAUUUUUUGUUCGUCAUGAUGGCGGUGGACAAGUGGCAAGCUUAUUUGCAACGCGACCAGUUCACCAUUGUCACUGAUCACAAAAGUCUGUGCAACUUGGGUGAUCAACAACUCGAGACAGAUUUGCGAUGCAAAGCAAUGUCCAAGUUGGUUGGCCUGCAGUUUAAGUUUCAGUACCGGCGUGGAGUGGACAACGGAGCGGCAGAUGCCUUGUCACAGGUGGGUGCAACACUGGAUGUGGCCGCGCUCUUGCUGUGUCAGCCUACCUGGGUACAGGAAGUGGCCAAUUCAUAUGCCAUAGGCUCUGAUGCUCAGGAGAAACUAACACAGCUCGCCAUCCACAGUCCUGACGAGGAAUGGUUCUAG